CUGUCAAUUCAGUUAAAAAAAUUACACUUGAUCAUUCUGAGAUUAAUUAUAUCUUGGGAUAUACGUACAAGGAAUAUAUAUAUAUAUAUAAUCAAAUGUGUGCUUAAGCUUGGCCCAAGUAUUUCAAAGUGAUAAUAUGUCAUCUGGCCCAAAUGAUUCUCCCCUACAAUGCAAUUAUCCUUACAAGACUUGGGCCUCAUUUGUGUAUGUUAUGCAAACAAGUCAACAAAGUAGGAUUCGACGUGAACUGAAACUUAAUUUAGCUGUUGAGGAGGGGAGGCUAGGCAGUAGGCAGUAGGCAGUAGGCAGGGUGAGUGAGCAGGCCCAUGAAAACUUGCUCCAUGUGUUAACCUGGUAUGGCAUUAUAAUUAGCUAGCUAUUCGUGUCUUAGUUUUUUGUAUAAUGAAAUCUUAUCUGCUAAGCAGAAUAUUAAAAUUAC
This 439-nucleotide long non-coding RNA is filed under the name Panax ginseng (ginseng). Its description in RNAcentral is "long non-coding RNA (PGIN_LNC017282)". The record is from RNAcentral. Lineage: Eukaryota; Viridiplantae; Streptophyta; Magnoliopsida; Apiales; Araliaceae.